RNAcentral lists this non-coding RNA (100 nucleotides) under Photobacterium gaetbulicola Gung47. RNAcentral's name for it is "Photobacterium sp. Gung47 Purine riboswitch aptamer". It matches the Rfam family "Purine riboswitch aptamer". Rfam says of the family: Riboswitches are metabolite binding domains within certain messenger RNAs that serve as precision sensors for their corresponding targets. Allosteric rearrangement of mRNA structure is mediated by ligand binding, and this results in modulation of gene expression. A class of riboswitches that selectively recognises guanine and becomes saturated at concentrations as low as 5 nM. RNAcentral also lists the same sequence under 1 other name. The record is from Rfam by way of RNAcentral. Lineage: Bacteria; Pseudomonadati; Pseudomonadota; Gammaproteobacteria; Vibrionales; Vibrionaceae.
GAAAACAUAAGCAAACGGCUUCGUAUAACCCCAUUAAUACGGUAUGGGGGUCUCUACCAGAAUCCGUAAAAUUCUGAUUACGAAGAGUUAAGCGCAGGUG